Molecule: ribosomal RNA, 253 nt
Filed under: uncultured bacterium
Lineage: Bacteria
Description: partial 16S ribosomal RNA
Rfam family: Bacterial small subunit ribosomal RNA
Source: RNAcentral
UACGUAGGGUGCGAGCGUUAAUCGGAAUUACUGGGCGUAAAGCGUGCGCAGGCGGUUUUGUAAGCCAGAUGUGAAAUCCCCGGGCUCAACCUGGGAAUGGCAUUUGGGACUGCAAGGCUGGAGUGCGGCAGAGGAGACUGGAAUUCCUGGUGUAGCAGUGAAAUGCGUAGAUAUCAGGAGGAAUACCGAUGGCGAAGGCAGGUCUCUGGGUCAAGAUUGACGCUCAUGCACGAAAGCGUGGGGAGCAAACAGG